This is a non-coding RNA of Ceratotherium simum simum (southern white rhinoceros), 76 nucleotides long. NCBI's taxonomy places the organism in Eukaryota, Metazoa, Chordata, Mammalia, Perissodactyla, Rhinocerotidae. The record is from RefSeq and is a predicted model, not a curated record.
CCUUCCCUUAUAUAACACCAGAGAAUUCACAUGGGAGAGAAACCCUAUAGGUGUAAUGAAUGUGGGAAAUACUUCA